Molecule: ribosomal RNA, 459 nt
Filed under: uncultured bacterium
Lineage: Bacteria
Description: partial 16S ribosomal RNA
Rfam family: Bacterial small subunit ribosomal RNA
Source: RNAcentral
CCUACGGGUGGCAGCAGUGAGGAAUAUUGGUCAAUGGGCGCGAGCCUGAACCAGCCAAGUCGCGUGAGGGAAGACGGUCCUAUGGAUUGUAAACCUCUUUUGUCGGGGAGCAAAAGACGCCACGCGUGGCGUUCCGAGAGUACCCGAAGAAAAAGCAUCGGCUAACUCCGUGCCAGCAGCCGCGGUAAUACGUAGGGAGCGAGCGUUGUCCGGAAUUACUGGGUGAAAAGGGAGCGUAGGCGGGACUGCAAGUUGGGUGUCAAAUCAACCGGCUCAACCGGUAGCCGCACUCAAAACUGCAGUUCUUGAGUGAAGUAGAGGCAGGCGGAAUUCCUAGUGUAGCGGUGAAAUGCGUAGAUAUUAGGAGGAACACCAGUGGCGAAGGCGGCCUGCUGGGCUUUUACUGACGCUGAGGCUCGAAAGUGUGGGGAGCAAACAGGAUUAGAUACCCUUGUAGUC